RNAcentral lists this ribosomal RNA (478 nucleotides) under bacterium A6S_VP8_F9. RNAcentral's name for it is "partial 16S ribosomal RNA". It matches the Rfam family "Bacterial small subunit ribosomal RNA", at positions 337 to 808 of the family's 1533-position model. The record is from RNAcentral.
UCCUACGGGAGGCAGCAGUAGGGAAUCUUCCGCAAUGGACGAAAGUCUGACGGAGCAACGCCCCGUGAACGAUGAAGGCCUUCGGGUCGUAAAGUUCUGUUGUUAGGGAAGAACAAGUACCAAAGUAACUGCUGGUACCUUGACGGAACCUAACCAGAAAGCCACGGCUAACUACGUGCCAACAGCCGCGGUAAUACCUAGGUGGCAAGCGUUGUCCGGAAUUAUUGGGCGUAAAACGCGCGCAGGCGGUUUCUUAAGUCUGAAGGAAAAGCCCACGGCUCAACCGUGGAGGGUCAUUGGAAACUGGGGAACUUGAUUGCAAAAAAAAAAAGUGAAAUUCCCCGUGAACCGGUAAAAUGCCUAAAAAAGUGAAGAAACACCACUGGGAAAAAGGAAUCUCUGGCCUGUAACUUACCCCAAAGCACAAAAACGGGGGGACAAAAACAGAUAAAUACCCCGGUAGACCCCCCCCCUAACC